GACGAGCCACACGAACGUUAUUCGGAAUUACUGGGCUUAAAGGGUGCGUAGGCUGCGCGGAAAGUUGGGUGUGAAAUCCCUCGGCUCAACCGAGGAACUGCGCCCAAAACUGCCGUGCUCGAGGAAGAUAGAGGUAAGCGGAACUUACGGUGGAGCGGUGAAAUGCGUUGAUGUCGUAAGGAACACCUGUGGCGAAGGCAGGUCUCUGGGCAUUAACUGACGCUGAGGAGCGAAAGCAUGGGGAGCGAACAGG
RNAcentral lists this ribosomal RNA (253 nucleotides) under uncultured bacterium. RNAcentral's name for it is "partial 16S ribosomal RNA". It matches the Rfam family "Bacterial small subunit ribosomal RNA", at positions 524 to 776 of the family's 1533-position model. The record is from RNAcentral.